Non-coding RNA from Potamilus streckersoni, 72 nucleotides. Lineage: Eukaryota; Metazoa; Mollusca; Bivalvia; Unionida; Unionidae. The record is from the annotation of a GenBank genome assembly.
GCUCUGUGGCCUAGUGGUUAGAGCGUCAGGCUCGAAUGCGGGAGGCCUUGGGUUCGAUUCCCGGUCGAAUCA